UAAAGACCUCUGUAAUAUAUGACCAGAAGGAGGUCACACACACACACACACACACACACACACACACACACACACACACACACACACACGGGAACUGGAGAAAGAGAUUGAGAGAAUUGAAAAAAUGGAGAGAGGGAAGAGAUUGAUACUCCCCUCUUCCCCUUGGAUUUGUCUUUCAGAGGGACAGAGAUUGGGUUUGGGAGAUAGAGAUUGAGGACUGGAGGAGGAAGUCUUGGAGAAAUGACCCUCUGCCUCCCUUCUUGAUCUUAGCUGUUACUGAGAGACAGCUUGAACCAGAGAGAUUUAAGGGUUCACUGGAAGAUAGUCAGUGUCCAGAAGGAUCCUCCAUUUCAGAGGGCUUCCUUUCAGACCGUCCACUCCAGGAGAGAACUGACCAGAAGUAAGUUGGAAGUUUUUAAUUCUCCCAGCUCAUUUGUUCCUUCCUGGAAUCCUGAGUCUU
This 460-nucleotide long non-coding RNA is filed under the name Monodelphis domestica (gray short-tailed opossum). Its description in RNAcentral is "lncRNA (ENSMODG00000047398.1)". Lineage: Eukaryota; Metazoa; Chordata; Mammalia; Didelphimorphia; Didelphidae. The record is from RNAcentral.